UUUGGGGCAGCAAUGGUGGCACAAAGUAGCAGAGCAAAGGAAGCAAAGGAAGGAUCUAGACUGAACAAAAAGCAAAUGGGGAUCUCAAAAAUAAAUCAUUAAAGUAUAUGGGUCCCUUUGAGUAAAAGUUGAAGCAUGCAAAUGGUUCUGCCUCAAAGUAGCAUUUCACUUAGAUGCCUUUGUGAAGAAGAGAAACAGGCUCCAAGCUGUGGGUAGAAAGAAGCGACGGACCUAUGAAAACGACCAAAGAUGAGAUGGGUUUUAUGUUUAUGCAUUGGUGCUGUUUGGUUCAAGGUUUCCUACAACUUGUCUAUGCAAAUAAAAGUGGCAAACUAAGACACCCAUGUUUGGUUCACCGUUUUUCUUAAGUUCCCUAUCUAAUAGAUUUGCAUAGCAUUAUUCAUCUGGUCAUAGAAAGCAGGCUAUGGUUUUUUCUGGUUACCCAGCUAAAUGGAAAAAGUGGAAUCGAAAUAAUACCAUAAUACCCUCAUGUAAAGCGUGAAGAAGGAGGCGAAGAAAGAUAGAGAUAGCAGCGCCCGUGAGUGUAAGUCUCCAUAAGCUUAUCUUCCUUGUGUGGGUUGAAGAGGAAAUCUGGAAACGGCGACCGGAAGAUGUGAUUCUCCAUGUUCGAAAUUAACAAACUCGUCCUUUGUGUGGUUUAGAGUACCCAAAGAUCAAAAUUAGAGGAAGGUCUAUGCAAUGUGAAGCUUGUGGAGAAAAUGCAACGUUUACCCAGCAGCAAUUCCGAGAAUUCCAGAUUCCCUUGUGUGUGGUAUCAUUUCUUUUACUCUUGCCUUGAGCUUUCACCUCCCUUGAAUUUGGAUUAGAUGGUAUCAAAUUUAAUUGUGCAUAUUUUCACUUGCACUUUGUAUUGGAUGAGAUUGUUCAAGAUAAAAUUCUUAUUAAAAGAAUGCAAAAUUGUCUCCAGUAUAUUAUUUUGAGUUUCUAUUUCUGUAUACCAUUUUCAAGUGGUGAUCAAAUACCAGUUGAUAGAACAGCAUGAUAAUUACAUUGUAAUGACUAGUCACCGUCCGUUCUAACACUAACCCUAAAUAUUAUAAAGAAAGAAGAUAUAUUCUACAAACCCACAUCGUUAUGCUUUGUUUGCACGUUGUCUGAGCUACUGGUUCCCCUUUCCAAGCAUGGGUUCCUUCCAUUUGUUCCUUCUACUUUUGUUUUCCUUCUCUGUUCUUUGCCCUGCCUCUCCCAUCAUCCAAGCUGCUAUCCAUCAAGGUCCCAAAGCUUACUGUAACUGCACAAGUAACACCACUUUUGCUGCCCUUAGCUAUUACCGUUCCAACAUCAAAACACUACUAGAUUGGCUCUCCUCCAAUGCCACUAGCAAUGCCAGAUCCUACAACGCCACAGUAGCUAGCAAAAACACUCUUGACACUGUCCAUGGUCUCUUCCUUUGUACAGAAGACAUCAACCCAAAAAACUGCCAAGAGUGCGUGAUAGAAGCAGCCAAACUCAUAUUAUCACUCUGCACGACGGCGAAAGAAGCCAUAAUUUGGUACCAAGUGUGCUUUGUCCGCUACUCUGAUCGUCUUUUCUUCUCCGCAGUGGUAAUUUUUGAAGUGUUUGUGUAUAUAGCCAUACUGUUUAUGGUAAUUUUUGAAGUGGUCUAGUCUAGAUACCUGAUAGUGUAAAUACCAUGGUGUUAGUCCUAAACAAGUUGAAAAUGUGGAGACAAAUGGCAAACCUGACAAUGGCUUUUGUUUAUUUUUUGGAUGUGCAUCCAUUGUCAUGUAUGCCAUAUGGCUACCCAUUACUGUUUUAUUGUCUUCAUGUUAAAAGGAUUAGGAUAUGCACUAUUAACAUUGUCAUUGCUUGUGUUGUACCAACAAUGAUAUGUAUGGUAAGUUUUUGGAAGUCUGGCUAAGUGGAUAUACAUAGAAGCUUUGGAGUCAUGAGGACAGGCACUGCAGUAUUGUAAUUAUGGAGUGGGAUCAUGCUUAUAGACUGAUAUUGUAUGGUAAGUGGGUACCAACAAGAGGUGCCAACAGUCUUAUAUGACAACAGCCAUGUUCAAAGUGCAGCUGAUAAAGUGAUUACUUGACAGGCAUGCUGUCAAGUUUGCCAAGGUUGUUUAUUUUUAUGGUGAGAAAGCAUGUUUUGGGGUUGAUCUGAAGCAAAGGAAGAGGAAACCAUGGAUUGAAAGAAACAACUUGCAUUGUUAUCUGAUACAGAUACACAGGAUCCGAAACAUAACCAUGCAUCAGGGCCAUUUGGCAUAUAUGUGUAUCUGCUAUAUUGAAUUAAUGUUGCAUCCAUUCAUUGGUCAUGUGAAUGUAAUUUUACAUCUAUUUUAUGUAUUUGUUAUCUGUAAAACU
Molecule: long non-coding RNA, 2333 nt
Organism: Gastrolobium bilobum
Lineage: Eukaryota; Viridiplantae; Streptophyta; Magnoliopsida; Fabales; Fabaceae
Exons: 3
Source: RefSeq, a predicted model, not a curated record